GAAAUUUGCAGCUUAACUGUAAAAGUGCCGUUGAUACUGUGAGGCUAGGAUUUGGUUGCUGUGGGUGGAAUGUGUGGUGUAGCGGUGAAAUGCUUAGAGAUCACACAGAAUAUCGAUUGCGAAGGGCAGCUCACAAAGCCAAGAUUGACGCUGAGGCACGAAAGUGUGGGGAUCAAACAGGAUUAGAUACCCUGGUAGUCCCACACUGUAAACGAUGAUAACUCGCUGUCGGCGAUAUACAGUCGGUGGCCAAGCGAAAGCGAUAAGUUAUCCACCUGGGGAGUACGACCGCAAGGUUGAAACUCAAAGGAAUUGACGGGGGCCCGCACAAGCGGAGGAACAUGUGGUUUAAUUCGAUGAUACGCGAGGAACCUUACCCGGGCUCGAACGGUGCAGGAAUAUGGUAGAGAUAUCAUAGCUAGCAAUAGUCUGUAUCGAGGUGCUGCAUGGUUGUCGUCAGCUCGUGCCGUGAGGUGUCGGCUUAAGUGCCAUAACGAGCGCAACCCUUGUCAUUAGUUACCAUCAGGUCAAGCUGGGGACUCUAAUGAGACUGCCACCGUAAGGUGAGAGGAAGGGGGGGAUGACGUCAAAUCAGCACGGCCCUUAUGUCCGGGGCGACACACGUGUUACAAUGGGGGGUACAGAGGGCAGCCAUCCGGCGACGGAGCGCCAAUCUCAAAAACCCUUCUCAGUUCGGAUUGGAGUCUGCAACCCGACUCCAUGAAGUUGGAUUCGCUAGUAAUCGCGCAUCAGCCAUGGCGCGGUGAAUACGUUCCCGGGCCUUGUACACACCGCCCGUCAAGCCAUGGAAGCUUGGGGUGCCUGAAGUUCGUGACCGCAAGGAGCGACUUAG
RNAcentral lists this ribosomal RNA (853 nucleotides) under uncultured bacterium. RNAcentral's name for it is "bacterial SSU rRNA". It matches the Rfam family "Bacterial small subunit ribosomal RNA", at positions 597 to 1460 of the family's 1533-position model. The record is from RNAcentral.